CACGUAGGGCGCAAGCGUUGUCCGGAAUUAUUGGGCGUAAAGGGCGCGUAGGCGGCCGAUCAAGUCGGAGGUGAAAUCCCUCGGCUCAACUGAGGAAUUGCCUUCGAUACUGUUCGGCUUGAGUCCUGGAGAGGGUAGCGGAAUUCCCGGUGUAGCGGUGAAAUGCGUAGAGACCGGGAAGAACACCAGUGGCGAAGGCGGCUACCUGGACAGGUACUGACGCUGAAGCGCGAAAGCUAGGGGAGCAAACAGG
Molecule: ribosomal RNA, 253 nt
Filed under: uncultured bacterium
Lineage: Bacteria
Description: partial 16S ribosomal RNA
Rfam family: Bacterial small subunit ribosomal RNA
Source: RNAcentral